UGGCGGACGGGUGAGUAAUGUCUGGGAAACUGCCCGAUGGAGGGGGAUAACUACUGGAAACGGUAGCUAAUACCGCAUAACGUCGCAAGACCAAAGAGGGGACCUUCGGGCCUCUUGCCAUCGGAUGUGCCCAGAUGGGAUUAGCUAGUAGGUGGGGUAACGGCUUACCUAGGCGACGAUCCCUAGCUGGUCUGAGAGGAUGAUCAGCCACACUGGGACUGAGACACGGCCCAG
Molecule: ribosomal RNA, 234 nt
Filed under: uncultured bacterium
Lineage: Bacteria
Description: partial 16S ribosomal RNA
Rfam family: Bacterial small subunit ribosomal RNA
Source: RNAcentral